UUCCUACGGGGCGCAGCAGUGGGGAAUAUUGCACAAUGGGGGAAACCCUGAUGCAGCGACUCCGCGUGAGUGAAGAAGUAUUUCGGUAUGUAAAGCUCUAUCAGCAGGGAAGAUAAUGACGGUACCUGACUAAGAAGCCCCGGCUAACUACGUGCCAGCAGCCGCGGUAAUACGGAGGAUGCGAGCGUUAUCCGGAUUUAUUGGGUGUAAAGGGAGCGUAGACGGCAGGACAAGUCUGGAGUGAAAGCCCGGGGCCCAACCCCGGGACUGCUUUGGAAACUGCCAUGCUAGAGUGCUGGAGAGGU
RNAcentral lists this ribosomal RNA (305 nucleotides) under uncultured bacterium. Its description in RNAcentral is "bacterial SSU rRNA". It matches the Rfam family "Bacterial small subunit ribosomal RNA", at positions 336 to 658 of the family's 1533-position model. The record is from RNAcentral.